This is a long non-coding RNA of Centruroides sculpturatus (bark scorpion), 1051 nucleotides long. RefSeq lists it as uncharacterized. The transcript is spliced from 4 exons. NCBI's taxonomy places the organism in Eukaryota, Metazoa, Arthropoda, Arachnida, Scorpiones, Buthidae. The record is from RefSeq and is a predicted model, not a curated record.
UAUGCCAAGAUUGUUAAGUCUCGUUUGGGUCAUUGUUAACCGCAAGUAAUUUUUUAUUUUAGUUUGCUGAAACUCCUUUCACACGAAGAGACUGAUACGCAAAUUGUCAGAAAUAACUUUAGUGCGACCAUAAGAUUCACAAGAGAUUCUGUAAAAUUAAAUUAUCUAAUAUGGAUAACUUGGUUAAAAUGGCUUCAAGCCUAAGUGAUUUAUCGUUGAAAAACAUUGUGAUGAACUAGAAUCUCUUAUUACUCAAAUUUGCAAUGGUAAAAACCCGAGGAAGAUUUCUUAAGGGUGUAGAAAACAUUAGUGCAGGACUGAAAUUAUAUACUGGAAAUAUGAUAAGCUGAUUAUUGGACCGGCCACCUGCUAUAAACUAAGUUAUUUUUUGUAAUUUAAAAAACUUAUGCAUUUUGGUCACAUGACUUAAUCAACAUAAAAUUAUUUUUCUAAUAGCAACAGAUCUCUCUCUUAGAAUUAAUGUGAAUAUGUUUCCUUCUUUUUUAUGUUAGGAGACUCAUUAAUGAUGUUUCUGUUUCUGUAGUACAAGGAAAGCAACCACAAUUAGAAAAAAUACUAAAGAAGAAGAUCUAAGCACAGAAAAGGAAGAAGAAAAGCAAACAUUCAUAAAUGAGACAAUGGAAAUGUUUAUUUUUCUCAUUCUAAUUUUAUUUGAAAUUAAUAAAGCAAUUAUGCCAAAACUUCUAAGAGAGAUUUUGAAUGAAAUUUAAAUAAAUUGGGAUCCUUGAACACUUCUCGAAAGACAAUUGUUAGAAUGUGAAUAAGAAUUCAAGUUUUAUUAAAAGUAUAAUUCAAUUAUUAAAAAUGAUUAUUUUAACAUUUUUUCAAUUACAAUUGAUAAAAUUUAAAUUAAUUUAAUAAUACAGUAGUAAUAUUUAGAAUUUAUUGAAGAUUUUACAUUUUUUUAAGAACAUAAUUUUAAAUUUUCUAUCACACGAUGGACAGAAAAAGUAUAAAUUUGUUCUGAUUGGCUUAGUUUACGAUUUUGAUACAUAUAUUGUUUAUAUUAAGAUUAAUCACCAGUUAUCAA